CCCCCAGCCCCCCCAGUGCUGCACUGGCCAUGGGGGCACUGCUGGGGGUGGGACCCCCGGGACCCCCCGGGACCGCCCGGGACCGCCCGGGACCCCCCAGGACACACCAGGACCCCCGGGGAGCCCUCAGGACCCCCCGGGACCCCUGGGACACCCCGGGACAACCCGGGACACUGCUGGGGGUGGGACCCCCAUGUACUGCUGGGGCACGGAGACCCCCACCCAGGCACCCCGGGGUGCCCCCGCCUCUGCGGGGCUGGGCUGCUCGGCUGAGCCGCUGGGUGCCCGGUGCCGGUACCGGUGUGUGCCGGUGUCGGUGCCGGGGCCGGUGGCUGGGGAUGAUGUGGAUGUGCCGGUGUGUGCGGGUGUUGCUGCUGGUACCGGUGUGUGCGGAUGCCGGUGCCGGCGGCUGCGGAUGGGUGUGGAUGUUGCCGGUGCCGGUACCGCUGUGAGAGUAUCGGUGCCGGCACCGGGGCAGGUGCGAGUGAUGUUGGGAGCGAGUCCCGGCGCCGGUGGGGUCCCGGUGCCAGUGGGGUCCCGGUCCCGGUGUGUGAGAGUGCCGGUGGCGGUGCCGGUGUCAGUGUGUGUAUGGGUGCCGGUGGCGGUGUCAGUGUGUGCGGGUGCCGGUGCCGCUGCCGGCGCCGGUGGCGGUGCCGGUGUCAGUGUGUGCGGGUGCCGGUGUCGGUGUGUGCCGGUGCCGGUGGUGGUGUCAGUGCGUGUGGGUGCCGGUGUCAGUGUGUGCGGGUGCCGGUGCCGGUCCUGCUGCCGGUGGCGGUGUGUGCCAGUGCCGGUGGUGGUGUCAGUGUGUGCGGGUGCCGGUGCCGGUGUCAGUGUGUGCGGGUGCCGGUGGCGGUGUCAGUGUGUGCGGGUGCCGGUGGCGGUGUCGGUGUGUGCCGGUGCCGGUGCCGGUCCUGCUGCCGGUGCUGGUGCCGGUGUCGGUGUGUGCCGGUGCCGGUCCUGCUGCCGGUGCCGGUGCCGGUGUCAGUGUCAGUGUGUGCGGGUGCCGGUGUCGGUGUCAGUGUGUGCGGGUGCCGGUGUCGGUGUGUGCCGGUGCCGGUGCCGGUCCUGCUGCCGGUGCCGGUGCCGGUGUCGGUGUCAGUGUGUGCGGGUGCCGGUGGCGGUGUCAGUGUGUGCGGGUGCCGGUGGCGGUGUCAG
Molecule: long non-coding RNA, 1155 nt
Filed under: Lonchura striata (white-rumped munia)
Lineage: Eukaryota; Metazoa; Chordata; Aves; Passeriformes; Estrildidae
Description: domestica (Bengalese finch) lncRNA (ENSLSDG00000002874.1)
Source: RNAcentral